This 198-nucleotide ribosomal RNA is filed under the name uncultured bacterium. Its description in RNAcentral is "partial 16S ribosomal RNA". It matches the Rfam family "Bacterial small subunit ribosomal RNA", at positions 328 to 539 of the family's 1533-position model. The record is from RNAcentral.
ACGCUCGACACCUACGGGAGGUAGCAGUGGGGAAUAUUGCACAAUGGGGGAAACCCUGAUGCAGCGAUGCCGCGUGAAGGAAGAAGUAUCUCGGUAUGUAAACUUCUAUCAGCAGGGAAGAAAAUGACGGUACCUGACUAAGAAGCCCCGGCUAACUACGUGCCAGCAGCUGCGGUAAUCUGAGCGGGCUGGCAAGGC